Molecule: ribosomal RNA, 253 nt
Filed under: uncultured bacterium
Lineage: Bacteria
Description: partial 16S ribosomal RNA
Rfam family: Bacterial small subunit ribosomal RNA
Source: RNAcentral
UACAGAGGUCUCAAGCGUUGUUCGGAUUUAUUGGGCGUAAAGGGUGCGUAGGUGGCGAGGUAAGUCGGAUGUGAAAUCUCAGGGCUCAACCCUGAAACUGCAUUCGAUACUGCCUUGCUCGAGGACUGGAGAGGAGAUUGGAAUUCACGGUGUAGCAGUGAAAUGCGUAGAUAUCGUGAGGAAGACCAGUGGCGAAGGCGGAUCUCUGGACAGUUCCUGACACUGAGGCACGAAGGCCAGGGGAGCAAACGGG